Non-coding RNA from Odocoileus virginianus texanus, 1066 nucleotides. Lineage: Eukaryota; Metazoa; Chordata; Mammalia; Artiodactyla; Cervidae. The record is from RefSeq and is a predicted model, not a curated record.
AUUAGACAGCUCUCAUGGCCUGAAAGAACUGUUAGUGUAACACAGAGGCAGAGAAAUGAAUUUUUGAGUUUCUAAAGCCCUGAAGGGUUGACCCUGUAAACAACAUCUCUGGAACAAUAAUGAUGGCACAACGCAGAGAGAUCAACUGAUUGAAAUGACCCUCAACAGAUUGAAAUGAAUUCUCUGCCUCUUGGAAGAGUGAGUGCUUGAAAGAACAAUUAAGCUGAUGUGUACAAAGGAGGAUUUUUGAGUGGUAAAUUGCAACUUUGCUCUCAAAAGAUGCAUUGAAGACCUGAACCCUUUGAAGCUCAGACAAAAGAGAAACAGCAAACAGUAAUUUACAAACAUAAUAAUUCAGCUUCUCUGUACCUGGAUGAAUAGGAAGUGUUCCAAUAUGCCCCUCACUCCUUUCUUCCAUUUGUUACAUAGAGUUUGUCAUUCUCCCCUCUCUUUCUAAUGUCUUUUUACACCCUGCCCUAUUAGAUGGAUUGCCAAAGAACAGAAGAAGUCAUUUCAGCGUUGUUGUUUUAAAACUUCUCUUCCAGUGCAAGAAAACCCCACUAGGGAAGUGCAUCUAUAAAUGGUGCACACACUCUCACCCACAGCAGCAAGAGGUUGCCUCAUUCCCAAGGCAUGUUUUGCAGUCAGCCCCUAGAACAGGAUUCCAGGAGCUGAUCAGCUCCUGCUAUCUUAGCACCUGUUUCUUGAUGGUUUCUGCUUUGGUGACAUCACAUGUUUGAUUGCUGCCCUGUAGAGAUACGACGAGUAUAAUUCUGUGCUGGAAGGCUUCAGUUUGGAAAGCGUUGGUCCUGUGUGGGAGAGAUGGAACUGGAACAGAAGCAUCAAGGUGCUGGGAUGUUACCAAAGCCUGUUGUCUUGCAUUGAUCAUUUAUGUGGCAGGGCAGAUGGAUGAUCUGUUUUCAGAAGAUGUGUCACUCCAUGCUGGGUUUACUCAAUGAAAUCUUGUAUAGCCCCAGCACAUGAAUUAAGAUAUUUUCUGUAGAUGAUUCAUUUAUGCAUAUAUACACCCACGCACACAGUCAGAAAUAUUUAUUGAAUACCUGUG